UGAUUUUAGCGAAGUCAAACGUCUUGGUCCCGCUACACCACACUAAGAUAUUUUUUCAGCUGAGUACCCCCUUCACCGGCACAAAACAUUUUGGGGAGAAAAAUAAAGAAAUAAUAUGAAUAAUAUAUGUGCGUUCUAUUUGGCAGCGUAAACACGAACAUUAAAAGGGUCACGUUCUAACCACUUGUCCUUUUUCUUUAUUUUCUAGAGCUGGUUUUACUGGGGGUGGUGCUGGUGCUACUGGGGGUGGUGGUGCUACUGGGGGUGGUGGUGCUACUGGAGGUGAUGGAAGGAGAAGCCCGCCUCGAGAUAAAAUCAAGAUUUGCCUGUUCUUCCUCGAAGGCAACUGUAUCCACCCCAGAGAAAAAUGUUUCGGAGCCCAUUACAGUCUGCCUUACAGCUGGGAAGUUCUGGAGGGCAAUCAGUGGACGCUGCUGGAUAGCUCAGAGAAGAUAGAAGAGGAUUACUGUAACCCCAAAAAAACAUAUAGGUAUGCAACACAGGAAAGUGUAUAGAUUUGAAGGUACUGAUAGGACAAGGAGGCUGGAGUCGUUACAAGCAGACCUGCCACUGCUCUUACAUCUCUAGUCAAAACCCUUUGGUUUAAAUUAGCAUACUCCAUUUAAUCCAUAUUUGAAACCCUUUUGGUUUAAAUUUGUCUAGUCUGUUAAAUCCAAGUUUGAAACCCUUUUUAUUUAAAUAAUCUUACACUGUUAAUCACAGUUUGAAACCGCUGUUGUUUCAAUUAACUGACUCGGUUCAAUACCAGUUCAAAACCCUUUUGGUUUAAAUUUGCCUAGUCCGUUUAAUCCCAUCUUGAAACCGUUUUUGUUUGAUUGACCCAACUCUGUUUAAUCCCCAUUUGAAACCCUUUUAGUUUGAAUGAGCCAACAUUGUUUAAUCCCAGUUUGAAACCCUUUUUGCUGAAAUGAGCCUACCCGGUUUAAUACCGGUUUCAAACCCUUUUCUUUUUAAAUUAGCCUAGUCCGUUUUAUUCCAGUUUGAAACCCUUUUUGUUAAAAUCAGUCUACUCCAUUAAUACCAGUUUGAAACCCUUUAUGUGGAAAUUAGCCUACUCCCUUUAAUCCCAGAUUGAAACCCUUUUGGUUGAAAUUAGCCCACUCAGUUUUUUCCCAGUUUGAAACCCUUUUUGUUUAAAUUAAUCUACUCUGUUUGAUCGCUGUUUGAAAUCCAUUUA
Molecule: long non-coding RNA, 1198 nt
Organism: Gadus morhua (Atlantic cod)
Lineage: Eukaryota; Metazoa; Chordata; Actinopteri; Gadiformes; Gadidae
Exons: 3
Source: RefSeq, a predicted model, not a curated record